GCAGUCGGAGGGGCUGCAUUGCAGACCCAGCCGAGCCCGCAGACAAAAGCGCCGCUGCUCCUCCCGCGGCUCCCCGGCACAAAGAGCGCGGCCGGCACCGAGCCCUGCGCAGCAGCCAGUACGACUCCUUCAUCUACUGGAGGAUGCCGAUCCCGCGGCUGGACAUGGCCGAGCUGGAGGGGCUGGGGCUCGCAGACAUGGCCCUCUACACGCCCAAGGGAGGCCUGGCCAAGCUCGGCGAGCGCGGCAGCCAGGACCUGUCCCCAGAAGAGGACACUCUGCUGCAGUUCAACAGCUUUAACUUCUGGCGAGCUCCCAUUGCCAGCAUCAGCUCCUUAGAUUUCGAUUUAAUUUGAAGCCCUCCCUGCCCCUCCUCACCCCCCCGCUCUCUCUUUUUCCGCCAGGCAUGCCAGGAUUUGGUUUUGUUGUCAGUUUGGAGGCUGUUGGGUUGGGUUUUUUUGGGUUUUUUUGGGUUUUUUGGGUUCUGGGCAGUUUUGCCAUUCCUCGCUCACUCAGCAGUUCACCGCGGCCUCGACGGUGAUGGGCUCCCCAAAAAUCUCCAGCCCUUCUCCCCGUUUUCCUCCUGGAACACAACGGGGCCAGCAACAGCUGGCAAACACGAGGGGAGGGGGCAGAAAAAGCCCCCCCAUUGCCCCUCUCCGUUCCCAGAGGGUUUGGGAGGUGGCACCCCCCUGUCCCCGCCCUGUGUGACAAUUUCUCAGCUCAUUUCUCGUGUGCUUUUUUAAGAAACUCGUUUGUGCAAUUGAGGAGCAAUGGGAAUCGCCCUCGUUUUGCAGAAAGCAUCGACCCUCUGUGCUCCCCUGGCCCAAUUUCUCAAAAUUCCUCUUCGUCCCUUGACCUUCCCCUCGGGAAUGCAAGGUGGAAGGGGCAGAGAUAUCUUCUUCUUGAGAAAAAUAAUCACUUUGAGCCUUGUGGUGUGAGCCCAAGCAGAAAAAAAUAUCUCCAGGAGGGUAAAUAGACAUGGAAAUGCACUGAUCUUGCUUAGUGGGGUCAAGGCUGGGUGUUUAUUGCCCCAAAUUUGAUUUUUUUUUAUCCUUUUUAAUGCUCCACAUGGUUUAUUCCCAGUGCAACUCCUGACUGGGACAGAUGCUGUGUACAUUGUAGGGUCUGGAAGGGCGAUGGGGCAGAGCUGAAAGAUUAAUCUUACCCCCAGAUGAAAAUAUUUCAGGUUUUCCACCCCCUUAAUCAAACCCUUUAAAAACAACAACAAACAAUGCUGCAUUCAUUCAAGUGGAAGCCUUGAGUUUUCUCCGGGGAGGUUUUCACCUGCUGAGGUUUAUUUCUGAGCAUCAGCUUAAAAUUGGGGGAAAAAACCCAACCUGGAAUAAUUUUUGGCUUUUAAAUAGUUGUGGGUUUUUUUCCCUCCCCAAGAUUGUUUUUUGGGAUUGAUUUGUCUUCUUGAAUGUGCUUUUUUUUGGGCUUGAUUGGGAUGAAGUGAUGUGAAGCAUCCCAAAAUCAUCCUGAGAGUUGGGGGGCAUAUGGCUGAGGCAGCACUUAAAAAGUGCCAGAAAUAGGAAAAAAAUUGGAAAAAUCUGCAUUCUACUAUGAAAAUUGGAUGCAGCUCUCCUGUAAUCUGCAGAAAUAAUCAAGUGUGCUGAUUUUGAACCAUCUGUGUAAAACCAGAGAUGAAAAAUGUAAAUUUUUCUCUGCAGAGCUGUUUGACUUCUGUGUUCCCAGCUAGGAAAACCUGCAGGAGAAGUAUUUAUUAUGAAAGUUUAAAUAAAAUCAGUUCAAA
Molecule: long non-coding RNA, 1756 nt
Organism: Taeniopygia guttata (zebra finch)
Lineage: Eukaryota; Metazoa; Chordata; Aves; Passeriformes; Estrildidae
Source: Ensembl